UUAAAUUGAAGAGUUUGAUCAUGGCUCAGAUUGAACGCUGGCGGCAGGCCUAACACAUGCAAGUCGAGCGGAAACGAGUUAUCUGAACCUUCGGGGAACGAUAACGGCGUCGAGCGGCGGACGGGUGAGUAAUGCCUA
This 138-nucleotide ribosomal RNA is filed under the name Vibrio parahaemolyticus. Its description in RNAcentral is "partial 16S ribosomal RNA". It matches the Rfam family "Bacterial small subunit ribosomal RNA", at positions 1 to 119 of the family's 1533-position model. The record is from RNAcentral. Lineage: Bacteria; Pseudomonadati; Pseudomonadota; Gammaproteobacteria; Vibrionales; Vibrionaceae.